This 5859-nucleotide unclassified non-coding RNA is filed under the name Pectinophora gossypiella (pink bollworm). RNAcentral describes it as "unconventional myosin IC". Lineage: Eukaryota; Metazoa; Arthropoda; Insecta; Lepidoptera; Gelechiidae. The record is from RNAcentral.
UUUUUGGACGUGUCAUUGGAUCUCGGACUGAAAGAUGGCGGACCCAGUUGUUGUGGUAAAUGGACCUUCCGACAUAGGGAUGGGUAUGGUCAUAGUCAAUGGCCAUUCUGAAGAUGUAGGGACGGAAGUGAGAGUUGUUGACAACCCCCCAGAGGACACUGGCGUGAAGGUGGUCAACGGUGAUGCAUUGCAGCCCCCAGGCAAAGGGCCGGCCGCGCUCCUCCGCGGCACGUCGGUGCAGGGUGCAAUGGAGCAUGCAUUGCAGCACCGCGAGCGGGUGGGGGUGCAGGACUUCGUGCUGCUGGAGGACUACCGGUCAGAGGCCGCCUUCAUAGACAACCUGAGGAAGCGGUUCAGCGAGAACAUUAUCUAUACGUACAUCGGCAACGUGCUGAUCUCGGUGAACCCUUACAAGAACCUGCCCAUCUACACCGAGGAGAAGACCAAGCUGUAUUACAAGAAGAACUUCUUCGAGGCGCCCCCACAUGUAUUCGCAAUCGCCGACAACGCUUACCGGUCACUGGUAUAUGAACACAGGGAACAAUGUAUUUUGAUCUCAGGCGAAUCCGGCUCAGGAAAGACGGAGGCGUCGAAGAAGGUUCUAGAAUACAUCGCGGCGAGGACCAACCACCUCCGCAACGUGGAGACUGUCAAGGACAAACUCCUCCAGAGCAACCCCCUGCUCGAAGCCUUCGGCAACGCAAAGACCAACAAAAACGACAACUCCAGCCGAUUUGGCAAAUACAUGGACAUACAGUUCAAUUAUGAAGGAGCUCCGGAAGGCGGGCACAUCUUAAACUACCUUCUAGAAAAGUCCAGAAUAGUCAGCCAGAUGUCCGGAGAGAGGAACUUCCAUAUCUUCUAUCAGCUGCUGGCUGGCGGAGACCAGGAAUUGAUGAAGCUGCUGAAACUGCAGGCGAGGCCUGAGGCCUAUAAAUAUACUACGGAUUUGAAUACACAAACUGGCCAGCGCACCAACGACGCAGAUCAGUUCCGCGUGGUCCGGGAAGCGAUGAAGGUCAUCGAGAUCAGCGCACCGGAACAGCAGGAGAUCUUCGAGAUCGUCGCCAGCAUCCUCCACCUGGGCAACGUGAAGUUCGUGCAGAACGACAAGGGAUCCGCUGAGAUCCUGACCCAUGAUGCCAAUAGUGAAAAUGUUGCUGAGCUCCUGAAAGUCAACCCAACGAAACUCCGCGAGGCGUUAACAAGUCGAACCAUCGACGCUCGCGGCGACGUUGUCAACACACCCCUAGACCUGGAACAAGCCCAAUACGCCCGGGACGCCCUGGCCAAGUCCAUGUACGACAAGCACUUCAGCUGGCUGGUGAAGAGGCUCAACUCAUCACUAGCACCAAAGGACAAGGAUCCGAGAGCAUCCGUCAUUGGUAUCCUGGAUAUCUACGGGUUCGAGAUCUUCCCUAAGAAUAGUUUCGAGCAGUUCUGCAUCAACUUCUGCAAUGAGAAGCUGCAGCAGCUGUUCAUCCAGCUGACGCUCAAGUCGGAGCAGGAGGAGUACCUGCGCGAGGGCAUCGAGUGGGAGCCCGUCGAGUACUUCAACAACAUCGUCAUCUGCGACCUCAUUGAGGCUAGGCAUAAAGGUAUAAUCUCGAUCUUGGACGACGAGUGUCUCCGCCCUGGUGACGCCAGCGACCUCAGCUUCCUGGAGAAGCUCAACCAGCACCUGGAUGGCCACCCCCACUACAAGUCACAUCGGAAGGUCGACUCCAGGACACAGAAGAUCAUGGGACGAGACGAGUUCUGCCUAGUCCACUACGCUGGGGAUGUGACGUACAACGUGAACACCUUCCUGGAAAAGAACAACGACCUGCUGUUCAGAGACCUGCAGGGUCUCAUGGCUGGCAGCGGCAACUCUAUCGUCGCCCGAUGCUUCAAGGACAUGGACCUUCUGAGCAAGAAACGCCCGGAGACAGCCAUCACCCAGUUCAAGAACUCCCUGAACGAGCUCAUCAAGAUCCUCAGCUCCAAGGAACCCUCCUACAUACGCUGCAUCAAACCCAACGACUUCAAGAUGCCCAUGCAAUUCGACGACAAGCUGGUGUCUCACCAGGUAAAAUAUCUCGGUUUGAUGGAGAACCUGCGCGUGCGACGCGCCGGCUUCGCUUACAGGAGGACCUACGAUGCCUUCCUUGACAGAUACAAGUGUUUGAGCUCGGAGACGUGGCCAAACUUCCGCGGGCCGGCGAGAGAUGGCGUUCAGAAACUGGUGGAGACCAUGCAGUAUGAGAAGGAAGAAUACAGGAUGGGCAACACGAAGAUCUUCAUCCGCUUCCCGAAAACCCUGUUCGACACGGAAGACGCGUACCAGCUGAAGAAAAACGACAUUGCGACCAUCAUACAGUCGCGCUGGCGCGGCUACUGGCAACGCAAGCAGUAUCUACGCAUGCGCGCCGCCGCCAUCGUCAUACAGAAGUGGGUGCGCCGGUUCCUUGCGCAGAAGCUUAGGGAAAGAAGGAAGAAGGCCGCUGACGUCAUCCGGGCGUUUAUAAAAGGCUUCAUCACGCGUAACGGUCCGGAGACGCCAGAAAACAGGCGGUUCCUGGGCAUAGCGAAGGUGCACUGGCUGAAGCGGUUGUCCACACAACUGCCCAAGAAGCUGCUCGACUUGUCCUGGCCGCCGUGUCCCGCCACUUGCCAGGAAGCGUCGAAGGAGCUGCACAGACUGCACCGCGCCCACCUCGCAAGGAAGUACCGCCUCGCGCUGUCUCCCGCAGACAAGAAACAGUUCGAGCUCAAAAUACUGGCUGAGACGAUGUUCAAGACCAAGAAGAACAGUUACCCGUCCAGCGUGGGCGACCGCUUCAUGGAAGACAGGCUGACUGCCGAGCACCAGGUGCUGAGAAACACCUUCAUGGCGUCGCCGGCUUGGCCUUCUGGCGAACAGCUUAUUUAUUCCUGCGAAGCAGUGAAGUACGACCGUCGCGGAUACAAGCCACGCGCGCGCAGUUUGCUGGCCUCAGACAAGGCACUGUACGUCCUCGACGCUGCUGGACGCAAGACAUACAAGCUGAAACAUCGCCUGCCCUUCGACAAACUCAGGGUCGUCGUCACCAACGAGUCCGAUAGCUUGAUCCUCAUCAAGAUUCCACAGGAGCUGAAGAAGGAUAAGGGUGAUCUGAUCAUCUCGGUGUCACACCUGAUCGAAGCGCUGUCUAUCGUCACUGACUACACCAAGAAACCCGAAAUCGUCGAAAUUGUAGACACCAGGACGAUCGCCCACAACCUGGUGAACGGCAAGCAGGGUGGCACCAUCGAGGUAACCAACGGCCCACAGCCGACCAUCCACCGUGCCAAGAGUGGCAACCUGCUUGUGGUCGCAACACCAUGAAAGAAUUGAUCAGUAUUUUGAACAAAGUUAGGUAUUUAAACGUAACAACGACUUUUAUACUUCAUCGAAGCUAGUUCAAUAUUUCCAUUAUAUAAUUUAUUUGUUAAUUUAUAAUUGUAUUUAAAAAAUAUGUCGUUAUAUAAACUUCGUAAAUGUACGAUAGAUUCUACCAUAUUUUUGUUAACUUUGCAUUUUCCGGGAACUUGGAAAUUCCACAGCCAUACCCUUAAAAACAACAACAAAGAUAAAGAAUAGUGGCAAGAUUUAAAAAAAAUCGGGUUUUUUUUAAAUUAUAUUAUGAUGUACUUUUCUAUUCGAAAUGUUGUUAUUUAUAUGAAUUUGUAUGGAUUAACCGUUUCUUUAUAUUCAUCGAAGUAAUUUAAGUGUGAUAAUGAUACCUAAUAUAACUGUUACGUACAAAGUACUUAUUAUAGAUUUUUGUAUGCCAUAAAAUUGAAAGGUUUAAGUAUUGAAAUGUGUCAAGCAUAACAUAACACUGUGUAAACAUUAAUGUAAUGUACUUAAUGUAAUAUAAUUAGGUACGUACCUAAAUACAAAAAAAAGGUUAUAACUUGUUGGUACUACUCUUCUAUAACCAGACCACCGGACGCCAGGGUUGAUGAGGUUGAUCAGCGACCUAAAAAGCCAAAAGGAAAUCUGAGUGUUUUAACACUAGAGCGGUUCCAUAUCGCCACAGAUAUUCAAUCAAUCAAUUAUUAAAAUUUAUUACACUACUCUAUUAUUUUUAUUUUAUUUUAUUGAUAUUAUUUUUCAUAUUCUUGACACAUUUCACUCCAUUCAUGUAAUUUGUAAGCUGAAUCGAAGGUGCCUAAUGAAUGAUAAGAAAAAAAACAGUUAGUUGUAGCUCGUGUAACUAAAAAUGGAUACGUCAAAUACGAUAAUAAAUAAUUAUUAUUCGAUAUUUAGAGUACGCGCAACGAAACAAGUCCCGCGGAUUUGAAUGGAACUAUUUGACAAGUCAUACAAAGUAACCUAGAUAAAUUAUGAAAUUCUGUCUAAAUAAAAACAGAUCUAAAACUGACGAAAACAUUUUCUUUUGUCUAUUUUUAACUUGAAUCAAGAAAAAUGUAAUAAUAAGUUCGACAUUUUAUCAUGUUUUUAUCAUGUGUUGUUUUUUUAUACAAAUUCCGUAGUAAUUUCGUAAUUUGACGUUUAGUAAAAAGUUACUGAUUUGACUACGCCGCGGCCGAGGGACUUGUUUUGUGGCGCGAACUCUAGAUUUGAUUCGAACCGAGCGCAACGUAGAGUACUAUUUUUGAAUAUUCUAAUUAUUAUUAAUAUUAUAAUUAUUUUUCUAAAGACCCGUUUUCCCGCCAAGUAGUAAUAUGUGUUAUUUAACACAUAAACAACCUAUAAAUUGCCAAAACCUAAGAAAAGAAACAGCCUUUAAAUGUAGUCCUCCCGUUAAUUCAAUCAAACAGAAUCCUUCUACAUGGUGCAAGCACGGUGCAGCUUAAAAUCAAUGUAACUGUUGCCUCAUGACAAUUGCGAAAAAAAAAACAUUAUAGAAUCCUAAAUUCCGCACAUUCUAAAAUUAAAAAUGUAUUUUUUGCUUUUCCACACUAAAUACGCAAAUAUUAUCUACGCUUCGCUCGGUUUGAAUAUUAAAGGUUACAAUCGAAUGAAGUGGGUAUAUUUUCAUACUAGUUCUUGGGAGAUAGCAGUUACAAAAUACCUUUAAUAAAAAUAGUACAGGCUUAAGUUAAUAUUUUUUUAUUUAACUUCCUAUUCCAUCUUUACAUACUUACAUCACAUUUUUGAAUUGAGUUAUGCCAAUUCUAAUGAAACGUGGAUAAAAUAUCGAUUUAAUUUGACAGUUCGGAAAAUAGCCCCGUCCUUCACUUAUGAUGAGUUGAAAACAGAGAUAGAACGAGAUUUAAAACUGUCAAACUGAAUAGGUACCUUAGUUAAAUUGAAUUAAGUUUAUAUCUGCUUGAGGCACCUUACCUUAGUAGGUCUAAUCCUUUUAUAUUCAAUGUUUUCAUAGGCUUAUUUACGAUUAAAUUAAAUGGUAGAGAAUGCGCCACGAAAGAAAUCCCGCUGAUUUUAAUGUAACUAAUUGACAUGCUAUGAGUAGUUCUUCGAACUCCGGGCGGCAAUAUCAUGACCAUUUACGCAAAAAAUAUCCUAAAAUCUUUGGUCUUUUUGCAAAUAUCCAGUUGGAACUUACAUAAGAUGGUGACAUACAGAAGUUUUAACUGGAUAUUUGCAAAAAGACAAAAGAUUUUUGGAUAUUUUUGCGUUAACGGUAAUGAUAGUGACUGCAGGUAUUCGAAGAACUACGCAAUAAUUCUAUGCACAUAGUGCAACACUAGCGCCGCAGCCACGGGAUUUUAUUCGUGGCGCGGACUAUGUUUCCUUUGUAAUACAAACUGCUGUCUUCUUCGAAUUUAAGAUAGUUCGGCCAUACUUUAGAUACAGGCUUAACGUGCCUUACAAUGUAAGCCAGUUCCUUUAAAAGUCAUUUUAUUAAAUAAACUUAUUUUGAUAUA